UACGUAGGGUGCGAGCGUUGUCCGGAAUUAUUGGGCGUAAAGAGCUUGUAGGCGGUUUGUCGCGUCUGCCGUGAAAAUCCGAGGCUCAACCUCGGACUUGCGGUGGGUACGGGCAGACUAGAGUGUGGUAGGGGAGACUGGAAUUCCUGGUGUAGCGGUGAAAUGCGCAGAUAUCAGGAGGAACACCGGUGGCGAAGGCGGCUUGCUGGGCCAGUUCUGACGCUGAGGAGCGAAAGCGUGGGGAGCGAACAGG
This 253-nucleotide ribosomal RNA is filed under the name uncultured bacterium. Its description in RNAcentral is "partial 16S ribosomal RNA". It matches the Rfam family "Bacterial small subunit ribosomal RNA", at positions 524 to 776 of the family's 1533-position model. The record is from RNAcentral.